CCUACUUCUCGGUGCCCCUGAUAGUGCUAAUACAGUAAUACUGAAAAGGAACCAAUCAGAGUCUUUUACCCUCUUUGUUAACACUGUUUAACAGGAUUAAAAAAAAAAAAAAACAACAACUCUGUUCUCCCUGUUCUAUCUGUGUGUGAUGACAUGUGUUGGAGUUUGAAAUCACAUAAAACACUUUGAACAGUGUCAGCUGUGCUUCCAUGAAAGACUGUCCCCGGUAAUUAGCGCCAUGAGAGAGAAACCUCACAGCUCGGUUGUCAUUGACGCCCCGAUCCUCUACCUCUGGCUGAUUAUCCCAUCUUACAUCAUCCACAGACCCUCACCCCUCCCACCCCCCAACCCCAAUCAUCCUUAAUAACAACUCGCUCCUCCUCAGCAUCUAUCUGCCUGAUCAGAGAAAGACUUUCCCCACAGUACCUUUGGAGGCGACAACAUUGCAGGCAGCAAAAUUAGAUUUGAGUCCCCUCAGGAGUUGAUAUUCAGUAAAUUCUAAGAGGCAGCAGGUUUAUACUGCAUCUAUAAAUCGGCCUGAGUGGAAGUGAGUGCACAACUGGAAAAGGUUAUCCACUUAACCAAUAACUACUGCCAAGAUGUGGAAAAGAGAGAAGAACUCCAGCCAAUCUUCCAACAGACCAUGUUUCUCCCUCGUUCACCAAUAUAUUCAACGUUUUAAUGAGGUGUCGGGAAACAAGACAGGUAAAAAAAAGAGCCUCAACCCAACUGCUUUUAGAUAUUUUACACAGCUAAUGAGACAGGGCCAUUCACAUGAAUGAUGGGAUAAAUAUUAAAUAGUACCCUGGGUGUUAUUGGCUAUUUGUCUGAGUGUGACACGUCCUGCUUUCAUGCUGGUGCUGGCAGUAGCACGACCUGUA
RNAcentral lists this long non-coding RNA (881 nucleotides) under Oryzias sinensis (Chinese medaka). RNAcentral describes it as "lncRNA (ENSOSIG00000023659.1)". The record is from RNAcentral. Lineage: Eukaryota; Metazoa; Chordata; Actinopteri; Beloniformes; Adrianichthyidae.